GGGAUGAAUGUUCUUUCUAUGCAGGUCCUAUAAAAUAUUCUUCUAAUCAUGAUAGGAACACGUCCUCACUACAACAAUGAGCGCAUCUACAGGCUAAGGACAGAGCAAGAACUGCAGCACUGCUGACUGCUCUAUGGUGCUCGAUACCAACGACAAAAGUGGCAUAUUUGAGCUGUUAAUGAAUUACUAAGAUGGCUGUGAUUUGUGAAUUGCAUUUUUUUAGUUGUUAAGGUUAUUGACACUUGCUAACACCACUUGAAUACUAGGUAGUCAUCCCCAGC
This 281-nucleotide long non-coding RNA is filed under the name Sorghum bicolor (sorghum). RNAcentral's name for it is "long non-coding RNA (SBIC_LNC007073)". The record is from RNAcentral. Lineage: Eukaryota; Viridiplantae; Streptophyta; Magnoliopsida; Poales; Poaceae.